UAGGGCGGGACCUUUCGCGCCUCCGCCCCGGGGUUGGCGGACUGGAGAAGGAGCGAAGAUGGCGGAGUGAGGCGUGCCCCGGGCAGCCGGCCUCCGGGCCCCGGGCGGGCCUCGCUCGAGAGGCGAGGUGCUUCUGCUGGACUUAGUGAGGAACACACAGGAUGAAUAUUUUCAUGGCCUUAGGUGCUUUUAUAUUCAGCUCAGAAUUCAGAACUCAGGACUUGGCAAGACUUUCUAUGUUGUCUUCUCAGUGGGGCAUCCUGGUUCUUUCAUACAGCCACUUUCCUUGGUGAAAUUCAGAUGGCUUUCUACAGGGGCCUCCAUGGUUUGGAAUGGAGAGGCUGCUUUCCUUUAUUCCACCUCAGACUCGGCACAGAGAAGCCGGAGAAUGCAGCUGUCUGCUGACUUCAGGAAGAAAAAACCAACUGGCAAGGGUCUUCUGCUGCAGUUUGCUUCAUUAGAAAGACACUGUUUGCAACUGGAAGGAAGAUGUUUAAUUUGAAACAGGUGCUUAGAUUGUGCAUUGUGAAUUCUUCCUUUAAAAGCUCCAAACAACAAACUAUACAAAUACCAUGUGUGGAUGACUUCAGGUUUUUGUUUUGUUUUUUAAUUCUGCCAGUUUUAACACUAUUAUAAGCACACUUGAGACUGCAGUGGUAAAUUCCAAAUAUCCAUUAUAAUUUGAGGUGAAAGAAACGUUAUCUAAAUCCUGGCUCACCAUCUGACAGAUUCCUGGGCAAAAACAAAUCACCGGUAUGACAAAAGCAAAAGACAAGAAAGAUAUCAGGGUUGAUUUCACAUGGAAGUGAAGCCAUUGCAGUUUGUGUGCAGAGUCACAUUUUUAUAUGUAUAAUUCCAUGUUUUUGUUUUUAAAUACGAUUUUCCUCUUGGAGAUGAAAGCUAUUGUUUCAUGGGAGGGCUUUGGACAGUUUGAUGGUCUUGAGUGUUUGAGUUUUGUCUCUUUUGCUUUGCUUUUUCAUCCUCCUCAGGAAGGACCAGCUAGCCUGCAGCUAGUUCAAAGUGGGAAGAGAACAGGCUGGGCUGAUGCUUGCCUCAAACUGCCAGUGAAGAUCAGAAGUUCAGGUUCAGCUUGAGCCACAUGGUAAAGCUAUCUCAAAAACAGCAGAAAAAUGAAAACAAAACAAACAAACAAACAAACAAAAAAAUGAACCCAGUAACACCACUCUUGUUUUUCAAGAUUUUUUUUUUUUUUUUUUUUUUUUGUGGAAUCGAAUGUAGCACAUGAGACUUUGGUUUUCUGUGCAGCUGUGGCUGGAAAGAAAGUAGAAUAUGUGUUAUGUGAUGGACCCUAUAUUGUAACUUGCCUUCAACAACUUUGGACCUAGAGGAGUAAAGGAAAAAAAUAACUCCGCAUAUAAAUCCUUCUAAGAAAAAGAAGCGGUGAUGUCUUAUGUAGCAUCAUCUGACUUUUCAGCAUUUUUACAUUAUGUACUUGCAUUUUUUAUAAAAGCAUAAAUAACUUCCUUUAUCCCAAGAUGGGUACUUGGACAUUUAUUUUUCUAGGUGAUAAUGUAAUGUAAGGCUGAAAUUCUGGGACUCAGGUAAAUUUUCCCAGUUUGAAUUGAACUUCCUUACCAGAGAAUGGACCUCAGAAGCAAUGUUCCUAGUGCUGUGGUCAAUCAACUCUAUCUACUCUUGGAAGAAAUUCAGGAUCUGAACAAAACUUCAAAUAAGAAAAGCAGGUCUAGUAAGAAGUGUGGAUCCUAUUGCCAGUCGCUGUAGAUUUAAAUGAAAUUCAGGGUGGGGGUAGGGAGACCUCAAAACUAGUUCCAAGAAAUAAUGCAUGUUUGUUUUUUUCCUUUAAUUAACAGUUAUAAGGAACCAUUGUGAAAACCUCUCUUUGCUUCCAAAUCAAGAGAAGUCUAUUUUAUGUGAUGCCAGGCUUUUACAAGGGAGGGAACUGUUGAAAUGGUUGCAAUGGUUGCCAGUAGAGAAGGAACAGGUGCUCUUGGAGCUGAUUUCUGGAACCAUUUCCCAGUGCUGUGAAUUUGAGUCAUAGAAAGGAUCAAAAUUGGGAAAUUUGAAUAUUCUAAUAAUUUAGUCAGAUUGGGCAACAAAUUUGAAUUUAUACUGAAAGUUUUUUUUUCUUAAAUACUUAUUAUAAAAAAACCUUUUAAUGAGAGCAAAUAAUGAUACAACACUAGAGAAAUAAGGCUUAAAUUUAACCUAAAUUGCUGGACUUGUUACCCCACACCUGUAACCACUGCAUUUUGGAGUCUGAGGCAGGAGUAUUGGCCACAAGAUCAAAGCCAGCCUGAUUGACAGACCUGUCUCAAAAUGCAACAAAAAUAUAACCCAAAUUUCCUCUUUAAGUCCCCCAGCCACUUAUAUUUUCAUUUAGAAGACAAUGGAAGCCAGCUGGUGACAGUUCCUGCACCUUACCUUGGGCAACUUUAUGGGCUAAGGCCCUGUGGCAGGGCUGUCACCACCAAGGAGGUGUCACCUUUUGCUCCAAAUGCUUCACAUUUGUAGCUUAAACCUUCAAGUUUAAGUUGAGUUCCCUUUGUCAAAGAUGCUCCUGUGCCCUGCAUUGUUAGCACCAGAUGGCAUUUCAUAGCCUGGGUUGUUCCAGCUGUAGUUGCCUGGUGUGCAGUACAUUUUCAUUUUAUAGUCUUGCUUGGGUUUUCUUAAUAGCAGCAAAAACUACCAUUUUAGGGCUGUGCUUCCACAUGUAGCCGCGCCUCCUCCCUUCUCCAUGGAAGCUGGCAGUUUUUCCUUUGAAGUUACUAAACAAAAACGGGAUAUGUGCAAUAUAAAUAUAUAUAUAUAUAUGUAUAUUUUAAUACUUGUGGACAAGUGUUACAAGUUGUUUAAGAACAACAAAAUCACCAAUGUCUUCCAUUUUGAGAUGUGUAUAGUUUUGUAAGCAGUAGUACUUGGUAGCAUAUUGUAGUGCCAUGUUAGGGGUUAGUGCAUGAAUUUAGCAUAAUUUUAAACUUCAGGAUGAAAUAGUGAUAAUAACUAGUAGUGUAAAAAGAGUGGAAAAUUCUAGACCUUUACUUUUUGUGUAUGAAUCUGUGAUAUCCUCCCUGGGGAUAGGACAUAAAGGCCAAAACAACUAAUGUCUGAACAGAAAUGUGGGUUCACAUUGAGAAACAUUGUGCUUGGGGAAAUGUUAGCCUUUCACAAGGUAGCUACACAUAGCUGCCUUUGUAGCUUUUCAGCCCUCAGAGCAAGGCCUCAUUUCAUGCUUAUGUCUUGCUCUCUUAGUUUGAAGCUAGCUUGCUCAUAUUUGUAUUGUAUGUCUUGGGUUCAUUUUCCCUAUUUUGUGUCCAGAGAAUUAUUUUCUAUUUUGCAUGUCUGAGAUGCUAUGCUAAUUGCUUUAGCACAUUUAAUCUCUGGCCAUUUUCUUUCCUGUUUGCAUCACAUGCGCUAAUUGCAGAACCUUGUGGGCAGUCUGGAGUCUCUUGUAUUCUAGGCUUUUUUUCCUACUUUCCUUAUGGAAAUAAAGUAGUUGCUUUGUUUUGAAAAAAGAAAGUUUUCUGUAAAAUGAAAUUCCUACCUCUAAAAGUUGCCUAGGAAACUUGGACGGAACAGUUUUCUGGAGUGUUGUGGGGUCUUGGGUUUUUGUUUGUUUUGUUUUAAUUUUAGAAUUAGAGUCCUGCCAGGUGUGGUUGUCCAUGCCUGUAAACCCAGAAUUUGAAAAGCUGAGGCAGGAGGAUCAGGAGUUCAAGGUUAUCCUUUGUUACAUAGUGAGUUGGAGGUCAAUCUGAGCUACAUGGGAUCCUGUCUCAGAAAACCAAAAGAAAAGAGAGUCUAGGACCUACGAAUUACAUUAGUGUGAUAGAAAAUCUAAAAUUGUUUUUAAUGUGACUUUUUCCCACACAAACUAGGUAUGAGUAGUAUUAGCUAUCCAGGGACCCAGGAAUAGAUCCCUGUAGAAUAUCACCUGGGUGAAACUGCUUCUGAAAAGCAUUUAAAUUUAAGAAACAAAGGGAGAAAAACUUGAAAAAGUAAUGCAUAUAAAGUAGCACAGUAUAUAGGAAAGGAUAUUUCCUAUUGCAAAAAAAAAGCCAUAAAUGAACUAAAAAUGUUAAAGAGGUGGAAUUUAGUAGCAAUAACAGUUUUGCAUGUAUAGCAAAUAGUGUUCACAAAGCUGUAUGGUUGAGUGAUUACUAUUUGAAUUUGUGGGCUUCUGCAGUCUUAUAGAGUCCACAAAAGGAAAAUACAUCAUAGGUUAAAAAGCAUUUAAACUAUGAAUGUAUAUGAAUGUGCCGUGUGAAAAACAACAACUUUCAUAUAUGUGUUAAAGACUAUUUUGUUUCCCCAGAGUUUACAGCAGUUAAAAUCUUUCUAGUGCUUAACCUGGAAACAAAUGUACUUCUAUAUUCCCAGUGAAGCCAACAAGUAGGGGUCUUGCUUAAAUUGUUCUUAUUAUUAGUCAUUUAUUGUGUAGAAUGAGGUAUACUCUGUAACCUUUGUUCAUUGGCUUCCUGGCUACUUUUUCAAAAAGAAAAAUUUGUUUUUGUGUGUGAUUGGUGUGUCUGGAGGGUGGGGAAGGUAGCCUCAAGAACUUGCUGGCUUUUCCUUGUACUUAGAUCAAGGAAGUUAGGGAUGAAAGAUAAACAAAAUGACUGGGCAGUAUGGAGCCUGGGGGUUAUGUAUGUGUCUGAUAUAUGUAUGUGAUGAAGCUUAUGGCCUGUGUGUGACUGCAUAUUUUUUUAACAAGGAGAACGCAGCAAACUCAUCCCUUUCUUGAUCUGAGGAGUCACGCAGCUCACAUCAGAAUCUAAGAGUGGAACUGGGGUGACUCCUCGAUUCCUUUACCUCAUGUCCAUUGUGGCCACUUGAACAUCUGAAAAGAUCUGGGUCUGUGUUCCUUUGUUUUCCCAGGGGAAAAAUAAUUAAGAGUAGUUUUGUAGAUCUCAGACUCUAAUGAGUUAUUUUAUUACAAGCCUAAGAGUAGGGAAAAGGCUAUACUGAGUGUAGUUUCUCUUUAAAUGUCCUGUGAUGUCCAUGUUAGGUUUUGAGUCAACCAAGCAAUAUUCAGACAUCUGUAUGAUCAUGGACACAUGGCUAAUUCAGUUACAUCAGAGAUUACCCUUAACAGCCAUGUUUAUAGUUCUAAGUGUAAAACUAUGCUACAAGAUUUUGUGGUCUCAAAGUAUGUGGUUAAUUAGUAUUCAAUCUUCCUGUAGUCUCUUGUUUACUCUUUGUGUACCUGUGAUAUGCAAAAUAUGAAGAGGAACCCCCCCCACCUUCAGGAGUUUACAUUCUCAUGGUGCUGUAGGUGCAAGCAAAUUGUCUCUAGUUUAUUUAGAACAUUGCUUGGCUAUUAAUUAUACCAUUUUGGAAAAGCCCCUUGGCCGAGAGUUUUAAAAUGCAGAGGGCUAUGCUAAAUUUCAGGGCAUUACUGCUUGAGUUUACAUUGUUGUAGCUCUGCUCCUUAACUUUCCCCAGGGAGCUGUUCAUUAAUGUGAAUCAGAAAAGAACCCAUUCUGCCUAAGUAUCCUCACCACCCAUACAGCUCUCAAUAAGUGGCCAAGAAAACUUACUGCUCCAAAAAGACAGUCACCUCAGUUCCUUUUUCCAGGGCUUUAAACAUUUUUUACCCUCAAAGGGCCAGGAUUUCUAGCUAAGUCUUUUAGUAGAAUUAAAUAGAAGUCUUUCUUUCUUUCUUUCUUUCUUUCUUUCUUUCUUUCUCUUUCUUUUUUUGAGAAUUGAAGAAUUUUACUGCAGUUACCAAUACAAAAAAAUAAAAUAGUGUUGUGCUUAUCAGCUUGAGUAAACACCCAAAUCAUUAGUUGAACAGAUUAAUCCAUACAUAAAAGAAUCCAUAGCAUGUGAGUCCAGUUGUACUAAAUGCCCUUUAUAAUGCUAAAUAGAAGUCUUAAGUUUAACCUUUUUGUAUAUGACUUGUUUCUGUUUUGAAGCAGCGUUGUAGUAGAUACAGUGUACCAGAAUGCAUCUCUAAGGUAUUUGACUGACAUACUCAGCUGAAGUUUUGCAUGUAUCAUUGCUUUUCCCACAGUUCUGAAUCAAAGGGUUUGCAUGUUUAUUAAAACCAGGCCUGGUUGAAAGUGUAAGCAAUACUAGCAGGCCCAUAACUGAUUAUAGAAUGCUGAAAUUCUAAUGCAUGGUUGAAAUUUCUCAUUAUUAGGUAGUUACUAGUAAUUUUCUAUAUGCAUUUAUUAAUAAUGAAGCAAUAGAUACUUAAACCAAUAGCUUGAUUUUAUUGUUUGAAUUAUUUUUAUUUUCUAAUUAAAGAUUGUCUUACUUCCACUGAAAAAUGGGAAGUACAAGAUAAACAAGGGGCAACCACAAGACAUUCAUACUGUUAGGAAUACAGCAAGCAGUGCUCACUCUGUUUCCUAGCUCUAUUUAUUCCCAAGCAUGUUUGCAAAUAAAAGACAAACUAAGCAUGUUGAAUAAGCUGCUAUAAUCUGGACGGUGCAGGGUUUCAGAAUUGAGAAAUAACCUAUAUAGGGUCAGUCAUCUUAAUUCAGAAAUAAGUGUUCAGUUUUCUAAACAACUAGCUGUGAGGUUUGUUUCAUUAGUUUUAUGUAGAGUAAGUUUGGGGUUUCUUAAAAUAGAUUAAGCCGGAUGCAUGCUCUGCAGUCUCUGAACAGACAGAAGCCAGCCUGUGUGCCACAGCUAGACUCCUUCACAGAAAACACAUGAGUAUCUUGGAGGUGUGUAGCAUCAGUGUGCACUUACUUCCGUAGGUGCUGAUACUAUCUGUAAGUAGCCCAGCACUAAGAGUCUCUGCAGAGUCGAAGAAGUUCUGCCAUUGCUGUUGUAUUUACAGUAGUUGAGCUAGAGUUUUACUUUAAAUGAGUUGGUCUAAAGUAUGGAUCUUGCCUAAAACUUUUGAUUCCUGAUGAACAGGAAAAGUUUGUCUUCUUCCAAAAAACAAAACAUUUAUUUGGGUGAACAAACAUUGGUGAAAGGAGCAGAAGUGUAAUACAGUGGCAGAGCCACCUGAGAAAAUAGGUUCAGUUGCCAGCACUACCAAAAAUAGCCAUAUUUGGCAGCAUAAGAAUUUCUUAGAUUUCUUGACUUGGAAAUGAUCAAAUAACAAAUAGUUUUGGCAAUUAAUGAGAAGUAUUUAUAAUGUAUGAAAGACCUAAAUAGAAUUCAGUUCAAAUAAAACUUUCACUGGGUUUAAUUCAAUUUACAUGUCAUAUGAUGGAAAAAUAGUUUGAAAUUUAACUUUUUGGGGGGUGGUGGUUUGAGGCAGGGUUUCUCUGUGGCUUUGGAGGCUGUCCUGGAACUAGCUCUUGUAGACCAAGCUGAUCUCGAACUCAGGAGAUCCGCCUGCCUCUGCCUCCUGAGUGCUGGGACUAACGGCAUGCCCCACCAUUGCCUGGCGAAAUUUAACUUUUGUUGUGGUGCUUUGCUGUGGAUGUGACCUAGAAUGGUAACUUCCAUCUUUGAGAACUGAAUUCAUAGUUGUCAGUGUGGUGUUUGCUUCCCACUGAAGUACAGGAAUUGGGGUGUGUGGUUUGUCCCAAAUAGAAAUGUUCUUUGCCACUUCCUGAUAUUCUGCCAGCCAAUAAAGAUGAAUGGUUAAGUUCUUUCCUCUAACAAACACUUAGUCCUCUAACUCUGAUAGUCUACUAAAGUCAGUUAAAACAGAUUAUACAUGAAAAUUAAGUGUAUAUUUGGUAGAGCUCAGACUUUAAAUACCUUUAAAGUCAGAAUAUAAUUAUGAUUACUGAAGAUUUUCAAAACAUUUUGACACCUUUGGUAAUGGUGUGCUGUGUUUGAGUUUGUGUGAGUUUGUGUUUUUGUUUUUCUGCUUGGGACACAGCUCUUAGAGAGCACUUAGGCCCUGGGAUCAGACAGGUGUUCUGUCAUCGUGUUACCAGUCUUUAAACAUUUCUGUCUGGGCAUUAACCUUACACCCACCUAUCCCUAUAAUGAGAAGGGUUAAGAAUAUCCAAGUAAUCUACCUGAGAGUGGUGUGGCUGGCUUGCCUUCAAGCACAGGUGUUGCUGUUUGCUUGCUCUUCCAUGUACCUUGCAUCAAACCGUCGGUGUAUGAGGUUAUGUUACAAGAGCUGCACUGAAUGUUUGAAGCACUACAAAAGGCAGCUUCCUAAUCUAUGCAUCUUUGGGAGUUUUGAAGAAAUUUGACUCUUUGGAAAAGGAACUAUUGUGAGAGUUUGAAACUGCACCUGUAUGUAUAUGUUUUAGCAAUAAAGCAUGAGCUGAGAAUGCACUGACA
Molecule: non-coding RNA, 8190 nt
Organism: Cricetulus griseus (Chinese hamster)
Lineage: Eukaryota; Metazoa; Chordata; Mammalia; Rodentia; Cricetidae
Source: RefSeq, a predicted model, not a curated record